RNAcentral lists this long non-coding RNA (2103 nucleotides) under Olea europaea subsp. europaea. The record is from RNAcentral. Lineage: Eukaryota; Viridiplantae; Streptophyta; Magnoliopsida; Lamiales; Oleaceae.
CUAUCUUAAAAGUUCAACUUGAUUAAUAUGUUGGUUCUAUAUUUCAGAAACUAUUUGAUGUUGAAUUUAUUCAUUAACACAGUAUAGAUAACUAAUUUGUAUGGCUGUAGUUUGUAUAGAGUUCAUGAAUCUUUGCUAUAUAAAGAAGUGUUAUUUGAGCAUUUCUUCUUCAAUCUUAAGCAGUAAAAUGAUGGAUGAGCUUGUAAGUACAGCUUUUGCUAUCUUGAUAGUGAUUGCGUCUAUAUUCUGCUAUUCAUGGAUAUUCAAAAAACCAAGUAAAGAAACGGCCUUGCUACCACCAGGGCCUAGAGGUUUGCCAAUUCUUGGAUAUUUACCAUUUCUGCGCACAAACUUGCACCGUCAGUUCACGGAAUUGGCUCAUCACUAUGGCCCAAUCUACCGGCUAUGGCUUGGAAAGAAACUAUGUUUAGUUAUCAAUUCUCCGAGCCUGAUUAAAGAAGUUGUUCGAGAUCAAGACACGAUUUUAGCCAACCAUGAUGCACCUGUCGCAGGAUUGAUUUCAACUUACGGCGGAAUGGAUGUUCUUUGGUCGCCCUAUGGCCCUUAUUGGCGCGAUAUGCGUAAAUUGUUCGUACGAGAAUUGCUGAGUAACAACAAUCUUGAGGCUUCCUACAACAUGCGAAAAGACGAGGUCAGAAAGGCUAUCAGAAAUGUGUACACAAAAAUUGGCACCAGCAUAGAAAUUGGGGAGUUGGCUUUUGUUACUGAAUUCAACGUUGUAAUGAACUUGUUGUGGGGCGGCACAAUUGACGGGCACAAGCGGGCCGAGUUUCGUAAAGUAGCAUCAAAAGUUGUUGAUUUGAUUGGAAAACCAAACAUUUCUGAUUUUUUUCCAGUUCUUGCCAGGUUUGACAUUCAAGGAAUAGCAAAAGAGAUGAAGAAUUGUUUGGCACAUAUUGACGGGAUUCUUGAUAACGUCAUAAAUGAACAUAUGAAGACGGAUUCUAGUGGAGGUGAAGAAGAUAACAGAAAGAACGACUUUCUGCAAAUUCUUCUAGAGCUGAAGGAGAAGAAUACCUCAAUUAACCUGAUUCAAAUAAAGGCCAUAUUGGUGGUAAUUUCUUUAUUUUUGUGCAAUUUCCUGAUUAUAAUAGCAUCAAAAUUUUCCCUCAUUUCGGUUUUCAAUUCCAUUAAUUCUUUCAAAUAUUCGCUUAUUCUUUUUUUUUAAUCAUGCUGCAUAAGUAGGUAGUACUUUUUGUGAUUUCCAGAAAAUCCUGUAAUAUUAUCGGACAAGAAAGGAUAGUAUAAUAACAAAAGUUUUAGUUUUCUUUCUUGCUGUCGAGUGCUACUGAAUUUCAAACUGAACUGACGUUGUGGACAACAGGACAUCGCUAUAGGGGGGACGGACACAACGGCAACAACAGUCGAGUGGGUAAUGACAGAGAUUUUGCGGAAUCCAGAUGUAAUAAAAACGGUGCAACAAGAAUUAACAAAUGUUGUCGGGAUAAACAAAUCAGUGGAAGAAUUCCAUGUUGCGAAACUGAAGUAUCUUGAUGCAGUUGUGAAGGAAACAUUCCGCCUACAUCCUCCACUUCCCCUCUUGGUCCCAAGAAUUUCGAGCGAAUCUUGCACCGUCGGGCGAUAUACUAUACCAAAGGGUUCUCGUGUCUUUCUGAAUACAUGGUCAGUGCAAAUGGAUCCACAGAUUUGGGAGAAUCCAUCGGAAUUUAGGCCGAAAAGAUUUUUGAACGGCGACGGUGGCAAAUUGUGGGACUAUUUGGGAAACAGUCUUGAAUAUCUUCCAUUUGGAUCAGGAAGAAGGAUAUGUCCCGGCCUUCACCUAGCAGAGAAAAUGGUAAUGUACGUCCUAGCUUCACUUCUGCAUUCAUUUGAUUGGACAAUACCGGAGGGCCAAAAUCUUGAUGUCUCAGAGACAUUUGGAAUUGUGAUGAGGAAAACUGAACCAUUAUUUGCUAUUCCUUCUCCGAGAUUGUCUAAUUUAAGUCUGUAUGCAUAAUCAUGUUAUAUGUUGAACAUUAGGCGGCUUGAUAUUUUGUUAAUCCGUAUGCCAUGUGUUCAGCUCCAAUGGUUAUAAGAGUGUACUGAUUGUGAGAAAUAAUUAAGUGGUCCUCAUUAUCGUUU